CACUCUGAACCGAAUAUGACACCAUUGUCCUAAAGAUACCGAAUACCAUACUUUGGCGAGUACUGGUACAAACUCAUCCAUUACUGCGACACUUUCGUUGACUCGCUAGUGUUUCAUCGUACUUGGGCGUGUUAGUAUAGUACUUGCUGGUACUAUAUAGGCCAUAAUAAUUUGGAUUUAUUUUUUUGAUUAAUUUUUUUUUUUUGAUAAUAAAUCCAAAUUACAUAAUAAUUUGGAUUUAUUAUUCAUUCGAAGUUUUCAAGAUCUCAGGACAUCCCAGAUCCAAACUGAAAAGCCAAAACUAGUGAAGGGGAUUUUGAUUUUGGUUGUUUGAGGAAGCUUUGACAAGGAUUUGAAGCAUCAGUUCUCAUCAAGUACAAAGAUCGGGGGCUUGGCCUUGAAAUUUUGGGUAUUGGCAAACUAACAUGAAUAAUGUGAAGGCUAAUAAAUCUGCACACAAAGAGUCCGUUCGUGACUUGAGUUUCUCAAGGACGGACCUGAAGUUGGUCUUGCUCUGAUGAUGGUACUGUUAAAGUGUGGGACUUUGCUCAAUGCCAAGAAGAGCGGACACUAGCUGCUUUAUGAUAUAUGAACUAUGAAGGAGCUUGAAUCUUAUCGUGGUCAUCGCAAGGAUGUAACUGGUCCCAGUGAUGCUGCUACACUUGUAGGCCGUCUAUCAAGCAAUUUCCCAUUACCAGAAGCCCCAGCCUCUCCUGGAGCUUUUCCACCUGGAUUGACAUGCAACGAAGGAACCAUUCCUGGUGUUGGGGUAGCAAUGCCUCUAUCUAUUCCUAUUCCGGAUUCAUCAGAACAAGGGGAACAAAGGCCACCUCUCCAAGUUCCAAUGUCUGUGGCUCAACCUCCUCUCCCUUCAGUGUCUCAUCCUUUUCUCUUGGAAUCCACACAAUACCACCAAAUCCCACAAGAAGUUAGACCUCCCCAAAUGGCCUCUCUCCCUCUACCAACUCCUUUGCCCCCAGUUCCACAUCCUUCCUAGUUGGCUAUGCCUCAACAUAUGCAUAUGCCCUAACCCCCUCUCCCACCUGGUUUGUUGCAUUCCUUGUCAUCAUCUUCAUUUCCUAUGCCCCCUCCUCUCUUAUCAAUGCUAUCUUCUCUCACUUCUUCCGUGCCAAUGGGCUCAAUGCCAAAUUCCUUACCCGUCACUGCAUUGCACUCUGACUGUAUACUGCAAGACCAGGUGCUCCUUUGCCUCAGGCACCAGUUUUGGGCUCGACUCGUUAUCAUCCGUCGUAUGCCAUGCAGGGCCAGCCACCCAUGAAUGUGAUGCAUGGUGGGAGUGUUACAGGUGGUAACGUUCAUCCUUUGCUGGGUGGAUUUGCAAAUGGAGUGAUAGGUGUGCAAGGCCCCACAAGUACGAGUGGGGUGGUGACAUAUGCUAUCAGGGGCGUGUUUAACCGGCCACCAGGUGGAUAACUUGAGUUGAUUCAAGGACUCAGUGCUUACUAGAAACUUGGAAAAGGCCGAAGCCCUAAUUAUAGUCGGCAUACGGCUUGGGUAUCUUCCCGAUGUUGUGACUUACAAUACUUAAUCGCUGCAUAUUGCCAGUUUCUCAGUGUUGAUGCUGCAUACUCAGUUCUUGACAAAAUGAAAGAAGCUGGAACCUAGCCUGAUGUUAUCACUUACAAUACUCUAAUUGCCGGUGCUACCAAGAAAGAGCUUAUAUCACGGACCCUUGAUUUGUUCCAUGUGAUGCUAGAGACUGAGAUUGUUCCUGAUGCUUGGAGCUAUAGCUCAAUGAUCCACUGUUACUUCAAAGUUGGAAGGUCUGAUGAUGCUUACCAGAUUAUCCAGGACAUGUUCUCGAGGAACAUUGCACCUACCUUAACUGCAUAUAAUACCGUAAUCAAUGGUCUAUGCAAGGCUGGUGACAUAGGUGAUGCCCUUAGAUUGUUUAGGAAGCUUGAUGGGCUCGGUUGCCCUCAAGAAUUAAUCAGAUACAACAUACUAAUUGAUGGACUGUGUAGGUGUGGCAAGAUACAUGAAGCGAGAAGGGUCCUCAAGGAGCUUGAGAAGAUGGGUUAUACCCCAAAUGCCAUAACUUUUACAACUGUCAUAACCUGUUGUUUUUGAUCAGGUAAAGCCAAUGUUGGCUUUGAGCUCUUUUCUGAAAUGAAGCAUAAGGGCUACAAUAUCGAUGGCGAUGCCUUUGCAGAUUGUACAAUGAUUAGUGAUAUUUCCAAGUUGUGUAUGACUGAAGAGGCUUAUGCUUGCACAGACCGGAUGCUUGGCUGUGGGGCCCCUAUUGAUAUUGUUUCUUACAACAGCAUGAUGAAUAGCUAUUGUAAAGAAGGGACUUGGUCUCAGCUUUUCGGCUUGUGAAUGAGAAAAAGACGAUGGGGGUAAAAAAAGUGAUGAAUAUACCCAUACAAUGCGGAUUGAUAGGUUGUGUAAGAUAGGUGAUGUAGAUGCCACGAGAAGGCAUUUUAGAUAAAUGGAGAUAAGGGGUUGGAGAUCGAGCAUUGUGGCUAAGAAUUGCUUGAUUCAUGGGUUGUUUAAAGCUGGUCGGGUGGACUUAGCCAUCAAGCGGUUUAGUGAGAUGAAGGUAAAAGACUGCUAUACUUAUACCUCGGUUUUGCAUGGGCUUUGUUGGCUAAGAGAUUCCAUGUUGCUUUUAGGCUUUUGUUUGCUUGCUUGAAAGAUGGCGUGAAGGUCCUUAGGUCAGCUCGUUGUGCUGUCUUGGCUGGUUUUAGGAAGGAAUCGAGGAAGCUCAAGUCUGGAAUUUGUCUGGUCAAGGGCUUACAUACUUGAGCAUGGGUCUCAUCUUUUCCUUAAAUUGGUUGUCUGAUGCAGCUCUGAGAAAUGGGUAACCAAGGUUUUGAGAUUUGGAGCGGUAUCUUUUCCUCGAAUCCGUUAAGAAGCUCCUCUCCGAGAAAUGGGUGUUGCGAAGGUUCAAGAAAUAAGGUGAGCUUGCAAUAUUGAGAGAUGUAUUGCCGUUUCUAGAUCCAAGCUGUUAUUGUGACCGACUCAAGGAAUGAGGGAAAUAGCCUUUAGCCGUUAUAUUUGAUGCUAUGCUUACCCGCCAUGCCCAAAGACAAUGAAGGGAGAUAUUCUGAAUUGGCCUGUGAUGGAUUCAUUAUUGGGGGGUUGUCAUUGUGGAUUUCGCAUUAGCUUCUUUCUCGGUUUAUUGGUGGACUUUUUACAGGGCAGUUCAUGGGAGAAGUGGAGGUGCCCAAUUCAUUCAAGCUGAUAAAGGGUGAUGAAUAAGGAAGGUUGUUUUUCAGUUUGACAAAGUUGCUUUUUGUAACAAUUAUUGUUUUAUAAAGUCGUUUUUCGUAAA
Non-coding RNA from Amborella trichopoda, 3298 nucleotides. The record is from RefSeq and is a predicted model, not a curated record. Lineage: Eukaryota; Viridiplantae; Streptophyta; Magnoliopsida; Amborellales; Amborellaceae.